AACUCGAUAAACGAACUAAAAGAGAGAGAGAGAGACAGAGGGAAAAGAGACAGUUAAACCGAAUAGCUUAGACCCUGAAAACUGGAUCUCUCUCUUUUUUCUUUCUUUCAUUUCGUUGAAUCACUUGAUUUCUUAGAUUCGGGCUGCUGGCGUCCUAUCCGGCUCGAUCCCGCCCAAAUGAUGGCAUCUACGGCGGGCCGCUCGUUGUGCCCCUCUUAUCUGUGAAAGUAGAUCUUGUGUUUGUCCGCUGUGCCUGUGUGUGUGUGCCGAAUCUCCUAUACGUGUGUGAAUACAUUAACUUUUAUGGGGGCCCCACAACUCUACCCACAGGCUCAGAGGUCUCUUUGAAGCCGUGUGACCCUGCGUACACCCCGUUUUUGGGAAACCUGCGGAGAGAAAGAUAUAUAUAUACAGGCACAGUCUUGUUUUUUUCAUUCUACCCGCUACACAACACGCGCGCUCGCCUCUUUUCCACCGUUUUUUUGGUUUUGUUUUUCUUCUUGUUGUAAUGAGAUUGUAAUGAACGAUACGCCUGAAAGCAACAACAAAAAAGAUGAGGGGAAGAAAACAAAAAAAGGGGGCCAAACUCACGGAGAUUACACGUCCGUUCUCGCUAAUGAAGUAGAUCCAUUUUUCAUGUAAAAUUCUCCUCUCCUCUUGUCAGAUUGUUGUCGAUUAACGCAUUCCGAGAUUCACGCAGAUGUGCCUAGAUGGUCGGCUGCCGAAAAUGCGCAGAUGACACAUUUGAUAAGCAGAUACAGCAGAUCGUAUGUAAAUGUUUCACGCCGACGGGAGGAAACCUCGGCCGUCUGGAUAGCGGAUGAAAGGGUUAAAUGCCGCAGUCGGUUUUCCUCGAUACGUUAUUACAAAGUUGAAUUAGAAGCCAAA
Molecule: long non-coding RNA, 888 nt
Organism: Daphnia magna
Lineage: Eukaryota; Metazoa; Arthropoda; Branchiopoda; Diplostraca; Daphniidae
Exons: 3
Source: RefSeq, a predicted model, not a curated record